GGCUUUAAGUGAAGCCAUAAUAAUACUGGUUGAAACUGGCUUCAAUUUCAAUUCAACAUACCAUUUCACUGUCUGUGACUAAAAGAUGAAAUUCUGAGGAUUUGUUUUAUUGAUUACAAACUGAAAUACUCUCCAAUUUUUUUUCUCUUAUGGAAAUUUAGUACUGUAAAAUAUUACAGUAUUUUCUAGCCAAUGUGAUUCAGAAUGACUAUAAUAGCUGGAAGUAGAAUCUAAUUUUCAUACCAUAACAGCUUUAAAAUUGUAUAUAUAUACU
Molecule: long non-coding RNA, 274 nt
Filed under: Bos taurus (domestic cattle)
Lineage: Eukaryota; Metazoa; Chordata; Mammalia; Artiodactyla; Bovidae
Description: long non-coding RNA NONBTAT025828
Source: RNAcentral